CCAACGGCCCUCUUUAGGGCCAACAAUUUACUUUUAAUUUUCAUGU
Parastrongyloides trichosuri is the source of this 46-nucleotide non-coding RNA. Lineage: Eukaryota; Metazoa; Nematoda; Chromadorea; Rhabditida; Strongyloididae. The record is from Rfam.